AAAUAUUUUAUUAUUUAUAUUUUAGUAAGAUAUUUUAUUAUGAAAGAUAUGAUAAAUAAAAAAUGUUAAUAUAUUUAUCUAAAUCAGAAACAAUCAUCACCAAAUUUUUAAUUGGAUAAGAUGAAGAAGUAUAGUUGUUUAUAUAAUUUCUAAUUUAUAAUAAUUUUUCAAAAAUUUACUUUAGUCUAAUGGUUAAUGUGCCCCUUUAAAUGGGUAUCGAGGCACAAGUUCAAAUUCCGGAAUGAACAUAUUUAAAAAAUCAAAACGAUGUCGUUUUAGCUUGUUAACGGUUGACUAACUUCUGUUAGAGUUAAUGUUGAUUUAUGCACAUUUUAAGAAGUCCGGGUAGUUUUAUUGAAUUAUAAUUGAGUCGAAAUCGUAUUUGACACUAACUAUUUGUUCAGGUUAUAUUUGGCACGACUAAAAUUGUUGGAUUUGAAAUUUGCAUUUUUUCCCG
This 457-nucleotide long non-coding RNA is filed under the name Brassica napus (rape). Its description in RNAcentral is "long non-coding RNA (BNAP_LNC020529)". The record is from RNAcentral. Lineage: Eukaryota; Viridiplantae; Streptophyta; Magnoliopsida; Brassicales; Brassicaceae.